This 402-nucleotide RNase P RNA is filed under the name Muribaculaceae bacterium. RNAcentral describes it as "RNase P RNA component class A". It matches the Rfam family "Bacterial RNase P class A". From Rfam's summary of the family: Ribonuclease P (RNase P) is a ubiquitous endoribonuclease, found in archaea, bacteria and eukarya as well as chloroplasts and mitochondria. Its best characterised activity is the generation of mature 5'-ends of tRNAs by cleaving the 5'-leader elements of precursor-tRNAs. The record is from RNAcentral. Lineage: Bacteria; Pseudomonadati; Bacteroidota; Bacteroidia; Bacteroidales; Muribaculaceae.
ACAGAGGUCCGGCUCGUCGCGGGGAGUGUGCCACUUCAGUGUGGCGCCGCCUGAGGAAAGUCCGGGCAACGCAGAGCACCACACUCUUUAACCGGGAGCUAUCGGCGACGGUAGAGCAGCGUGACAGAGAAUAACCGCCACGGUCGUUUCGGCCGGGGUAAGGGUGAAAAGGUGGGGUAAGAGCCCACCGGGCGCCGCAGCGAUGUGGCGUGCCGCACGUCUUGUGGGUUGCAAGGUCAAGUAUACCGGCAUUCAAGGGUUGCUCGCCCAUUGCCGGGGGGUAGACUGCUACGGACCGCGCACCCGUGCGCGGCCAAGAUAAAUGACGAGCCGUCAUUAAGGCACGGGCGUGAGCCUGACCUGCGAUGACGACAUAACCCGGCUUACAGGACCUCUGUCUUU